AACCUCAUUCUUAGUGAGAAGGGCACUGUGGGUCAUAUUGUCCAGAGUUUGUUAAUGGGGCUAAAUUGAGACACAGGUUCUUCUUACAUCACAGUAAGUAUACUGCAAUGGUGCUAAUGAGACUGCUCAUAUUU
Small nucleolar RNA from Capra hircus (goat), 134 nucleotides. The record is from Ensembl. Lineage: Eukaryota; Metazoa; Chordata; Mammalia; Artiodactyla; Bovidae.